This 253-nucleotide ribosomal RNA is filed under the name uncultured bacterium. Its description in RNAcentral is "partial 16S ribosomal RNA". It matches the Rfam family "Bacterial small subunit ribosomal RNA", at positions 524 to 776 of the family's 1533-position model. The record is from RNAcentral.
UACGUAGGGCGCAAGCGUUAUCCGGAAUUAUUGGGCGUAAAGAGCUCGUAGGCGGUUUGUCGCGUCUGCCGUGAAAGUCCGGGGCUCAACUCCGGAUCUGCGGUGGGUACGGGCAGACUAGAGUGAUGUAGGGGAGACUGGAAUUCCUGGUGUAGCGGUGAAAUGCGCAGAUAUCAGGAGGAACACCGAUGGCGAAGGCGGCAUCCUGGACCGAGAUUGACACUGAUGAGCGAAAGCCAGGGGAGCAAACGGG